This 518-nucleotide ribosomal RNA is filed under the name Thorius grandis (grand minute salamander). RNAcentral describes it as "partial large subunit ribosomal RNA". It matches the Rfam family "Bacterial large subunit ribosomal RNA", at positions 1816 to 2597 of the family's 2925-position model. Lineage: Eukaryota; Metazoa; Chordata; Amphibia; Caudata; Plethodontidae. The record is from RNAcentral.
CGCCUUUUGAUCUAUUAAUAUAAAAGGUCCUGCCUGCCCAGUGACACCUGUUCAACGGCCGCGGUAUUAUGACCGUGCAAAGGUAGCGUAAUCACUUGUCCUUUAAAUAAAGACCAGUAUGAACGGCAAGACGAAAGCCUAACUGUCUCUCCAUAUUAGUCAAUGAAAUUGAUUUUUCCGUGCAGAAGCGGAAAUAUUAUUAUAAGACGAGAAGACCCUGUGGAGCUUUAAGUCAAAGCUAGCUAUUUAAUAUUGUAUAACUAAAGACUUUAGGUUGGGGCGACCACGAGGUAUAAUAAAACCCUCAAGAUAAAACCAUAGAAGGACACUUCAAAUAAACAAUAUAUUGAUAUAUUGACCCAAAAAUUGAUCAACGAACCAAGUUACCCCAGGGAUAACAGCGCAAUCCACUCAAAGAGUCCUUAUCGACGAGCGGGUUUACGACCUCGAUGUUGGAUCAGGACCCCCAAAUAAUGUAACAAUUAUUAAAGGUUCGUUUGUUCAACGAUUAAAGUCCU